AAACCAUGGUGAGGGCACCUUCGUAAGAGAUCCUUAUACCUUUCCCAUGCUUCAUAUAAUGACUCCAAGUCUUGUUGGUAAAAAUUGGUAAUCUCACUUCUCAGCUU
Molecule: small nucleolar RNA, 107 nt
Organism: Pistacia vera
Lineage: Eukaryota; Viridiplantae; Streptophyta; Magnoliopsida; Sapindales; Anacardiaceae
Source: RefSeq, a predicted model, not a curated record